RNAcentral lists this ribosomal RNA (463 nucleotides) under uncultured bacterium. RNAcentral describes it as "partial 16S ribosomal RNA". It matches the Rfam family "Bacterial small subunit ribosomal RNA", at positions 28 to 507 of the family's 1533-position model. The record is from RNAcentral.
GAUGAACGCUGACAGAAUGCUUAACACAUGCAAGUCUUUGGCGAAGCUGUGCUUGCACAGCCUAGCCAAGGCGGACGGGUGAGUAACGCGUAAGGAACUUGCCCUGCAGUCAGGGAUAACAGACGGAAACGACUGAUAAGACCUGGUAAAGUCAGGCGGACUCAUGUCCAGCCUGAUGAAAAGUGAUGCUGCAGGAGAGCCCUGCGUCCUAUUAGCUUGUUGGUGGGGUAACGGCCCACCAAGGCGAUGAUAGGUAGCCGGCCUGAGAGGGUGGACGGCCACAAGGGGACUGAGAUACGGCCCUUACUCCUACGGGAGGCAGCAGUGGGGAAUAUUGGACAAUGGGGGCAACCCUGAUCCAGCAAUUCUGUGUGCACGAUGAAGGUUUUCGGAUUGUAAAGUGCUUUCAGCAGGGAAGAAAAAAAUGACGGUACCUGCAGAAGAAGCGACGGCUAAAUACGUG